Molecule: ribosomal RNA, 384 nt
Filed under: Pyramimonas sp.
Lineage: Eukaryota; Viridiplantae; Chlorophyta; Pyramimonadophyceae; Pyramimonadales; Pyramimonadaceae
Description: SSU rRNA
Rfam family: Eukaryotic small subunit ribosomal RNA
Source: RNAcentral
AGCUCCAAUAGCGUAUAUUUAAGUUGUUGCAGUUAAAAAGCUCGUAGUUGGAUUUCGGAUGGGCACAACCGGUCCGCCGUUGCGGUGUGCACUGGUUGUACCUAUCUUGCUGUCGGGGACGCGCUUCUGGCCUUAAUUGGCUGGAACGCGGAGUCGGCGAUGUUACUUUGAAAAAAUUAGAGUGUUCAAAGCAGGCCUAAGCUCUGAAUACAUUAGCAUGGAAUAACGCUAUAGGACUCUGGUCUUAUUGCGUUGGUCUUCGAGACCGGAGUAAUGAUUAAGAGGGACAGUUGGGGGCAUUCGUAUUUCAUUGUCAGAGGUGAAAUUCUUGGAUUUAUGAAAGACGAACUUCUGCGAAAGCAUUUGCCAAGGAUGUUUUCAUUA